RNAcentral lists this ribosomal RNA (449 nucleotides) under uncultured soil bacterium. RNAcentral describes it as "bacterial SSU rRNA". It matches the Rfam family "Bacterial small subunit ribosomal RNA", at positions 26 to 518 of the family's 1533-position model. The record is from RNAcentral.
AGAACGAACGCUGGCGGCAUGCCUAAUACAUGCAAGUCGAACGAACUCUUCGGAGUUAGUGGCGCACGGGUGCGUAACGCGUGGGAAUCUGCCCCUUGGUUCGGAAUAACAGUUGGAAACGACUGCUAAUACCGGAUGAUGACGAAAGUCCAAAGAUUUAUCGCCAAGGGAUGAGCCCGCGUAGGAUUAGCUAGUUGGUGAGGUAAAGGCUCACCAAGGCAACGAUCCUUAGCUGGUCUGAGAGGAUGAUCAGCCACACUGGGACUGAGACACGGCCCAGACUCCUACGGGAGGCAGCAGUAGGGAAUAUUGGACAAUGGGCGAAAGCCUGAUCCAGCAAUGCCGCGUGAGUGAUGAAGGCCUUAGGGUUGUAAAGCUCUUUUACCCGAGAUGAUAAUGACAGUAUCGGGAAGAAUAACGCCCCGGCUAACUCCGUGUCAGCAGCCGAC